GUCGGGAAUCUUGGGCAAUGGGCGAAAGCCUGACCCAGCGACGCCGCGUGAGGGAUGAAGGCCUUCGGGUCGUAAACCUCUGUCGGGAGGGAAGAAUGGCGGUAGGGCGAAUAGUCCUGCCGUUUGACGGUACCUCCAAAGGAAGCGCCGGCUAACUCCGUGCCAGCAGCCGCGGUAAUACGGAGGGCGCAAGCGUUGUUCGGAAUCACUGGGCGUAAAGCGCGUGUAGGCGGCCGGGCAAGUCGGAUGUGAAAUCCCGAGGCUCAACCUCGGAACUGCACUCGAAACUGCUCGGCUCGAGUCCCGGAGAGGAUGGCGGAAUUCCCGGUGUAGGGGUGAAAUCCGUAGAUAUCGGGAGGAACACCAGUGGCGAAGGCGGCCAUCUGGACGGUGACUGACGCUGAGACGCGAAAGCGUGGGGAGCAAACAGGAUUAGAAACCCGAGUAGUCC
Molecule: ribosomal RNA, 451 nt
Filed under: uncultured bacterium
Lineage: Bacteria
Description: bacterial SSU rRNA
Rfam family: Bacterial small subunit ribosomal RNA
Source: RNAcentral